This 69-nucleotide transfer RNA is filed under the name Rhabdoblatta omei. RNAcentral describes it as "tRNA-Val". The record is from RNAcentral. Lineage: Eukaryota; Metazoa; Arthropoda; Insecta; Blattodea; Blaberidae.
CAAAUUAACUUAUAAGAUAAGAAUUUCAUUUACACUGAAAUUAAUGUCGUGCAAUUCGAUAUAAUUUGA